UAGGGAAUCUUCCACAAUGGACGAAAGUCUGAUGGAGCAACGCCGCGUGAGUGAUGAAGGGUUUCGGCUCGUAAAACUCUGUUGUUGGAGAAGAACAGGUGAUAGAGUAACUGUUAUCAUCUUGACGGUAUCCAACCAGAAAGCCACGGCUAACUACGUGCCAGCAGCCGCGGUAAUACGUAGGUGGCAAGCGUUGUCCGGAUUUAUUGGGCGUAAAGCGAGCGCAGGCGGUUUUUUAGGUCUGAUGUGAAAGCCUUCGGCUUAACCGGAGAAGGGCAUCGGAAACCGGGAGACUUGAGUGCAGAAGAGGACAGUGGAACUCCAUGUGUAGCGGUGAAAUGCGUAGAUAUAUGGAAGAACACCAGUGGCGAAGGCGGCUGUCUGGUCUGUAACUGACGCUGAGGCUCGAAAGCAUGGGUAGCGAACAGGAUUAGAUACCCUUGGUAGUCCAUGCCGUAAACGAUGAGUGCUAAGU
RNAcentral lists this ribosomal RNA (475 nucleotides) under uncultured bacterium. RNAcentral describes it as "partial 16S ribosomal RNA". It matches the Rfam family "Bacterial small subunit ribosomal RNA", at positions 355 to 821 of the family's 1533-position model. The record is from RNAcentral.